GGAGCGGAGAGAAGUGAGAAUGUCGGCAUAAGUAGCAACAAGAAAGGUGAGAAUCCUUUCCACCAUAAACCCAAGGUUUCCAGGGCAACGCGAAUCGUCCCUGGGUUAGUCGGUCCUAAGGCGAGGCCGAAAGGCGUAGUCGAUGGACAGCAGGUUAAUAUUCCUGCACUUCCGUACGAUUUCGAUGGAGUGACGCAUCGUUCAACUGGUCGAGUCUCCUGGAAUGAGACUUCGGGCGCGCAGGGGUGUUCCGCAUGCAAAUCAGCGGAGCAUAAGCCUCGGCGUGAGCGCGAGUCUGCCGCAAGGCGGACAAGGAUCGGGACUGCGGUGUCGAGAAAACCUUCUAGAGCUAAUCGUAUGGAAACCGUACCGUAAACCGACACAGGUGGGUGGGCAUAAGUGUGCCAAGGCGUACGAGAGAAACAUUGUUUAGGAACUUUGCAAUACAGCGGCCGUAACUUCGGGAUAAGGCCUGCCCAGAGCAAUCUGGGCCGCAGCUAAUGACGCAAACCGACUGUUUACCAAAAACACAGCUUCCUGCUAAACCGCAAGGUGAUGUAUAGGAAGUGAUGCCUGGCCAGUGUCAGAACGUUAAGGGGAGAGGUCAUCCCGUCGCAAGACGGGGGCAGCCUUGAGCUGAAGCGCUGAUGAACGCCGGCGAUAACUAUAAUCGUUUUCUCGCUACCCCCAGCGCAAGCUGGGAACAGAGUAGGGCGAUUACAAAAUUCGACCAAAUGCUGGAACACCUGCGCAUGUCAUGGUACCGAGUAGGUAACAAUCCAUGAACGAUGCAGACAAUCAGCAGGAAAGACUGCCGAGGAAUGUAACCCAUGAAAUAUGAGUGAAACUCCUCAAAAGAUGUUACAGCGGAUGAAGGGGAAGUAUCUUGGAUACUACCUCGCGGGCUUUGUAGAUGGAGAAGGAAGCUUCAACGUCUCGAUUGUCCCACAUCCGACUGCAAGAAACGGGUGGAUCAUCAAUCCAAAAUUUCAAGUGUAUCAACAUGAGAAUCAUGGAUACAUCCUCGAAGCGUUUCGAGAUGUCUUCCAUACGGGAAGCAUCCGCAAAAAGGCGGGUGGCAAUGUGUUGGUUUACGAAAUUGCGACUAGAUUGACCCUCGUUGAAAAGAUUUUUCCAUUCUUUGAACGUUAUCAGCUCAUAGUGAAACGGAAUGCGUUUCAAGGAUUAAAAACCAUUGUCCAUAUGAUGCAACGCAAGGAGCAUCUCACGGUUGAAGGGUUUCGGAAGAUCGUAACGAUCGCACAUGCGAUGAAUAAAGAAGGCAAGGGACGAAAGUGGCUGGAAAACAGCAUCUUAAGUCAAAUUGCCUCGGCAGAAUCCUCAGAGACUACACGUCGAACCCCGCCAUCUGUGGGGAUGAUAUAGUCCAUACACUCUAGCGAUAGGGUGAGGCAUAAGCCUAAGGUAGCGAAAUUCCUUGUCGGGUGAACUAAGUGUUCCAGGGUUGGAUAAAAAACACUCGCCCGAACCCCGAUGCAAAUCGGGGCAAGUAAACUGACUCAUAACGGUGGAUUCCACACGCUUGAGACGAUCAAGCACGGGAAAUACCGUGGGAAUCCUGCUAAAAUCAUUUAGUAUGGAACCCGUAACGACUGACCCGAAAGGGGAGAGUCCCGACAGGUAUUGUCGGGGCUAACACGUCAGCUCUUGCGAAUGAAAUGCGAUCUAUGGAGAUGGCGACUCUAUCGCUUGUAAACUCCUAACGAUUGCCCGCAAGAUGAAGGUAUAGUCUGAUCUCCGAUGAAAGUCGGAGUUAACAAAUGGAGUUCCGACCCGCACGAAUGGCAUAACGAGUUUGCGACUGUCUCAACAUGGGACUCGGCGAAAUUGCAAGUGGGGUGAAGAUGCCCUGUACGCGCAGUCAGACGAAAAGACCCCGUGAAGCUUUACUACAACUUGAUAUUGGGUAACGGCUUAGUAUGUUCAGAGUAGGUGGGAGCCGCAAGGCAACAAUGAGACACCACCCUUACUCUUUCGUUAUUCUGAUCGCAGACCGUCUAUCCGGUUUGUGAGACAGUAUCUGGUGGGUAGUUUAACUGGGGCGGUUGCCUCCCAAAAAGUAACGGAGGCGUUCACAAAGGUCAGCUAGGCACGGAUGGAAAUCGUGCCGAUUCCGCAAUGGGAUAAGCUGGCUUAACUGCAAGACCAACAAGUCGAGCAGAUACGAAAGUAGGACAUAGUGAUCCGACCGUACGAUAUCGGACGGCGGAAGCUCAACGGAUAAAAGCUACUCCGGGGAUAACAGGCUGAUCUGGUCCAAGAGUCCACAUCGACGACCAGGUUUGGCACCUUAAUACAUCGGGGUGCAUCAGAAGUGAUUCUGAUCCAAAUCCUUCGACAAGCUCAGGAUAAGCCCUGAGUGGAAUCGAAGGGCAAAAAAUACGGCUAUAACGGUGGACCCGUCAGUGAUUGAAUAUAAAUUCUGGAUGAAAAAAUUUAUAUUUCGAUCGCCCGGCAACACCGUGGGAAGCCACGUAAAAUCCAAAGACAUUUCAGUUUUUUGAAGUUUGGAUCACGUGGCCCCGUAACGACUGACCCGAAAGGGGAGGGUCUGGAUUUUUGAUCCAGGCCAAUACGCCGACGCUCGCUAGAUUCAAACCGAGAUUAUGCCUACGAACAGGCUACGAUCCGGAGCGAGAUGAAGAUAUAGUCUGUGCCAUGAGAAACCAUGGAAUUGAUCCGACAGCGAUGUCGGCCCAUCGCAUCCUGGGGCUGGAGAAGGUCCCAAGGGUUAGGCUGUUCGCCUAUUAAAGCGGUACGCGAGCUGGGUUCAGAACGUCGUGAGACAGUAAGACUGUGCUGUCUAUAAAUUCGACUAUAUGCUGGAAACUCUGGUGCAACUCCUAAUUGGAGUAGGAGUUCAAAGGAUCUCACACUACGUGGUAAAAUAGAGGUCUAUGCCACGUAAAAAAGUGUUGAGUGCAGACAAUCAGCAGGGAAGAUUACGUGAGUGAUCAAGUAAAACCCUCAGAGACUAUACGUCGAAUCCGCUUUAAGCGGAAAGAUAUAGUCCGAACUGCAUGGCGACAUGCAGACCCCGACAGAAACGUCGGGGCGCCGCAGAGCACAUCGCAGAAUAUGGAAGCGGUUAUGCAAGUAACAAAUUUGUCGGUCUCCUGUCUACUGCGCGCGUGGAAGGUUGAGAGGGCGAUUCUCUAGUACGAGAGGACCGAGAAUCACGAACCUCUAGUGCGCCUGCUGUUCUACCAAGGGCACCGCAGGGUAGCUACGUUCGGAACGGAUAAACGCUGAAAGCAUCUAAGCGUGAAGCCGUCCUCAAGAUUAACCUUCGUUAUUAAGGACCCUUCGAGACGAGGAGGUUGAUAGGUGGUAGGUGUAAGAGCCGCAAGGCUUUGA
RNAcentral lists this ribosomal RNA (3378 nucleotides) under Candidatus Uhrbacteria bacterium. RNAcentral's name for it is "partial 23S ribosomal RNA". It matches the Rfam family "Bacterial large subunit ribosomal RNA", at positions 1275 to 2889 of the family's 2925-position model. The record is from RNAcentral. Lineage: Bacteria; Candidatus Uhriibacteriota.